This 468-nucleotide ribosomal RNA is filed under the name uncultured bacterium. RNAcentral's name for it is "partial 16S ribosomal RNA". It matches the Rfam family "Bacterial small subunit ribosomal RNA", at positions 28 to 507 of the family's 1533-position model. The record is from RNAcentral.
GACGAACGCUGGCGGCGUGCUUAACACAUGCAAGUCGAACGGAAAGGCCCUGCUUUUGUGGGGUGCUCGAGUGGCGAACGGGUGAGUAACACGUGAGUAACCUGCCCUUGACUUUGGGAUAACUUCAGGAAACUGGGGCUAAUACCGGAUAGGAGCUCCUGCUGCAUGGUGGGGGUUGGAAAGUUUCGGCGGUUGGGGAUGGACUCGCGGCUUAUCAGCUUGUUGGUGGGGUAGUGGCUUACCAAGGCUUUGACGGGUAGCCGGCCUGAGAGGGUGACCGGCAAGAUGGGGGCGGAGGUGCGGAAGAGAGGCAGGAGGGAGGGGGAAGGGGGGAAGAGGGGACAAGGGGCGGAAGCCUGAGGCAGGAAGGCCGCGUGCGGGAGGAGGGCCGUCGGGUGGGAAAACGAGUGCGCCGGUGAAGAAGCGGGAGGGACGGUAAUGGGUAAAGAGGCAACGACUAACUACGUG